GUGAGACUGAGAUCAGUCCUUCAGGCAGUCCCAAGACUGAUUAGAACAAAUCAAAUAAGUUAUGCUUAGCUACCUCCAGCUGAAGCAAGGAAAUUGGAAGCUGGGCUAUUACCUCUUCCAGAUCAAGUCUGGAGGGGUUAGGACAGGGGCAGAAGAUUAAACGAGUCUUCUUGUCACUCCAAGAAGAAAGGCCAUGGAUACUGAAAUCAUGGGUUCCCCAACAAAACAUCCCAGCAAGAUCACCCUACAGUGAAGUUUACAAUCAGAAACUAUGCUCAUGUGCUCAGAGAUUCCAACCAGCUUUUUACUCCCCCCACUGUUAUAUACAGCAGCAAUCAAAUAUUUCUAGACAUAUGAUGAUAAUUUCUAACAUAAAAGAUAGAUAUUAAAACAAAAAAAUGGAGAAAAAUAAACAACUUGUAUAGAACAGAGACUAUGAA
RNAcentral lists this long non-coding RNA (440 nucleotides) under Equus caballus (horse). RNAcentral describes it as "lncRNA (ENSECAG00000059347.1)". Lineage: Eukaryota; Metazoa; Chordata; Mammalia; Perissodactyla; Equidae. The record is from RNAcentral.